RNAcentral lists this ribosomal RNA (496 nucleotides) under uncultured bacterium. Its description in RNAcentral is "partial 16S ribosomal RNA". It matches the Rfam family "Bacterial small subunit ribosomal RNA", at positions 28 to 507 of the family's 1533-position model. The record is from RNAcentral.
GAUGAACGCUGGCGGCGUGCCUAAUACAUGCAAGUCGAGCGAACAGACGAGGAGCUUGCUCCUCUGACGUUAGCGGCGGACGGGUGAGUAACACGUGGAUAACCUACCUAUAAGACUGGGAUAACUUCGGGAAACCGGAGCUAAUACCGGAUAAUAUAUUGAACCGCAUGGUUCAAUAGUGAAAGACGGUUUUGCUGUCACUUAUAGAUGGAUCCGCGCCGCAUUAGCUGGUUGGUAAGGUAACGGCUUACCAAGGCAACGAUGCGUAGCCGACCUAAGAGGGGGAUCGGCAGCAGGGAACAGAGGAAGCGGCCCGACCCCGAAGGGGAGAAACGGGUGGGAAUCCUUCGGCAAGGGGCAAAGGCGUAACGUGGAAACGCGGCGUAAGUAUGAAGGUUCUACGAAUCGUAAACCAUGUUUUUAAGGGAGUAGCAAAGUUGUAGGAACCAAGAAGCUUCUGACGGUAACUGAAUAAAAAGCCCCGGCUAACUACGUG